RNAcentral lists this long non-coding RNA (1294 nucleotides) under Oryctolagus cuniculus (rabbit). RNAcentral's name for it is "lncRNA (ENSOCUG00000039178.1)". Lineage: Eukaryota; Metazoa; Chordata; Mammalia; Lagomorpha; Leporidae. The record is from RNAcentral.
CGCCCGGCGCGCAGGUAAGGCCUGCCGCGCUGCCGAGCCUUCUCGCCCCCCGUCCUCGGGAUCCGUCGCCGCGCGGGCGCCCCCUCCGGGCUGUGUCAGCGCCGCGGCUCCCCCGGCCGCCCGGGGGCGGUCCCGGGGGGCGGGACGACAGUUCUCCCAUCCCCCCCAUCCCCCGGCACCUCAGGGCGCCGCUUCUGCCUCGGGGUCCCGGGGCCAGCCUCCGCGGGCCGGGCGUGGGAGCUGCGCCUGAGCCCCGCCUCGCGGGCCGAUUACACAAUCGCGGGGAUGAGGCGGGGGCCCCCUCCGCAGCCCCGGCCCGCACCUGUCCCCGCGGCGCGCCCCCCGGCAGACGCCGGCGCCCCAGCGCGACCGCGGGGGCCGGCAAAGUUUCACUUUGUGGUGGGGUUUGUUGACGGCCGCGCGAUGCGGGAGGCGGAGGCUGAGGCGCGAGGAUGCGCCGGGCGAGCGCGGCUGCCCGCGCCCCGGGUGGCUGUGCUCCAGGUCUCCCCUCCAGGAGUCCAGCCGGGAGCCCUGCCCCGGGAACGGCGGCUGCUGCAGCAGCAGUCUGGGGACAGCUCGGCCUCUCGCCCUCGCCCUCUCUCUGACAUUUAGACCAGGUGUUCACGAACAAAAUGCACAAAAUCCCGACUGACCGGAAUAACUCAUGAAGAAGGGGCUGGAUCCGUGGGUCAGAGAACACAGGACCAGUGUGCCACCCCAAGGCCGAAGUCUGGUGCCAUGGAUUUGGUCCUGCGUUGCUCACUGCUGCUGGAUCUUGUCCAGUCGAGGGACAGAACAUCCAGACACCUUCCUGAAGAUCGGGAAGAAAGGAGGUUCUGAAAGCCCAGAUUACAAGGCUGUGCCCGAAGCCCAGGAGGCGGCCCCUGGAGGGAUGGCUCACUCGGCAGCAGCAGCAGGAGGCACGCAGGCCCAAGAAGGGGUGAAGAUGGACACAGGAGAACGGAGAGACCAGUGUGAUAAGCACUCUCCCUGUUCGCAGAUGCCAGCACCGAGCAAGAGCCAUCCCCAUCAGCCCCCGAGCAGUGCAUCCAGGACCCGCUGGACAGAGGAUGCUGCCGUGGGGUCUUUGUCGCUCUGCCACCAUAAAAGCUGGAACCAGGGCCAGAGAAGCCGACGAAGCAGCAGGAAUCCUGAAGCUUUCAGAGGAGCCCUGAGGAACUGGCUAUGGAAUGCCGACCAGUGUUGCCAACAGAGCCCUGAAAGGAGAGCUUCCCUCCCCCGUUGGAGUCCAUCAUACCUGCUGGGACUCCAGCCAGCCCACAGCCACCCUUAA